This 2245-nucleotide long non-coding RNA is filed under the name Olea europaea subsp. europaea. The record is from RNAcentral. Lineage: Eukaryota; Viridiplantae; Streptophyta; Magnoliopsida; Lamiales; Oleaceae.
GAGUUUCUUAAUUUAGAUACAUCCGGAUAAGUAUUGAUUAACCUGCCAAAACAUCUAGGAACAGGAAUCUCCAGGUGUUUCCGAUGACGUGUGGCAAGGUAAAUCAAUUCCUCGCCCAUAUUUUUAUUUUAGUUUCUUAAUUUAGAUACAUCAGGGAAAAAAUUAAUCAUUUGGCCAACACAUUCAAAAUGAUGAGCAGGCACAUGUAAAUCAAUUCAUCGCACAUAUUUGUAUGCCAACACAUCCAAAGAAUUUUAAGGCUGUGGCCCUAUAGAUGGGCCGCGAGAACCCGUUUUCAAAGAUUGAUGAGAAUACGAGCAAAUUUGGUCCAGUACGGUCCAUUAAUUAGAAAAUUGAUUAAUACAUUUUUAUUUUAUAUUUUCAUUAUAUAUUAAUUGACAGUUUAUUUGACCUUGAGAGUUAACACUGGAUCACGAUUUGUUGCUUGGACCUAUAGGUCGAUAUGGGAUUUUUGAUCUAAACCUACCUUCACCUCACGACGAUGAGAUAUAAAAGCAUUAUUUGCACCGGAUGAAAAGAAUGUCCGGUAAUUGACGUUGAGUUGGUAAAAAUAAUGUUAGUGUGGAUCCUACUGAUCAUUUGUUUGCAAGCUUGCCUUCGCCUUGCUUGCAGGCAGGCAGGCCAAAUUUCGCCUCUUUUUUGUCCUUUAUGCCAGUGGUUCGGCCAGGCUGGAGCAGGGGUCGGGGCCACACCACCUUUCACAGAUGCAGCAGCAGUUUAGGUAUUUUGAGAGCUCACCGCCAAACGGGCGAUUUGAGCAUCCGUUUAUAAAGCAGACAAACCAGCAGGUGUACUGAGUGGGGGCGCCGGUUUCAUAGUAGUAAUGGUGUAGUGGUGUCUCCAUUGUAUGUCGAGGAUUUGGAGUUGCCUUGGGAGGAAAGUCCUCACCCUGUUUCCAACUCGGAAUGAUUGAAAUUGGGGUAUAUCUUUCUCCUCAAUUUGGCUUUUAGGCAUUGUGAAAAUCUGCAUUUGGAUUAACAUUUAGUAUUUAUUUUAGUAACAUAUUCCAAUCAAUUCUGAGUUCUUAGCUGUUCUUGAUAGGUGGAGCUAUUAGCAUUACGCUUCAGGUAAUCUACUACUGCUUAAAUGCUUGUGGCAGUCAUGUAUAUCUUGAUCUCUAUAUGUUAGACAGAGUCUUCAAUUUUGGUUUCAAACAAUCCAAUUCCAUUUUUCCAUAACUGUAAACAAGUUGUAAGUAGCAUUCGUGUCCAUGCCAGCUUCUGGUGUUGAAAACAAGCAAUCGAGUUAUUGUUAAGUUGAACAGAGAAGCCCCAUUGAUUGGGUAUGGUUCCAUCUCCCAGUGGUGAGCAAACAACAGCCUUCGUGUCCAUGCCAGCUUCUGGUGUUGAAAACAAGCAAUCAAGUUAUUGUUAAGUUUGAAGAUCAACAUGGCUCCUCCUAGAAAAUUCACAUUAUUCCUUCUUUUCUACUGAAUUGAUCGUAGCCACUACCUACAAUCCAGGAAGAUGAAUGCCACAAGUAGAAACUUACAAAGAGCCCACGACUUGUGAUCUUGUAGAAAGACAUCUUACCUUCUGAGCAAGAUGAGAAUUUUUCCUUGUGCCCUUCUCAUUGAAAACAAUGCUCCAGUGUUCCACUCGCACUUUUUAAGCAUUUGGAUCAAGAUCGUAGCUCUGAUCUAUGAUAGCAUGGGAAGUUGAUUGGUUGCCUGAACUUAGUAAAUUAGUAUAUCAAAGAAGAUGGUGUGGCCUAAAGGUUUGGUUAAUUCUUGAUUAUGCAGCUUUGGGUGAAAGCUUGGCAAUUACAAUGAGAUCAUAAUGUCUUCAAGAAGUUUGAGAUGGUGAUACAGAUCCAUGGGCUACAUAAUUGCACGUUUUGUUGACAUUUUCCGGAAGGAUGCUGUUUUUAAAUGGUGAAAGCAACUUUUGAAGCCAUUGGUAUUGAAAUGCACACCAGGACUCAUCCUACGUAUGUUGUUCUGGACCACAUUUAAUUCCAACCCUUGCUUGGUGCAUUUUUUUUUAAUAAUUUUGCAGCUCAUUUUUGAAGGCUUCAAGGCUUGCUCUCUUGUAAUCAAUAUUAGGACCAAUUUUUGCAUUAGGAAAAUAAAAUAUGCUGGAAUUGUAUUUCCACUCAUUGGGUUUGUUUUUGUACUUGGAUAGCUAUUUUGUAAUUGGCAUCUUCAAUAACUUUUAGAUGUACAGUUUUAUAUAUCUGAUUUUCAAUAAUUUCUAUUUUUUACUGUUUUGUUAUGUUAAAUAAU